RNAcentral lists this ribosomal RNA (465 nucleotides) under Vreelandella stevensii. Its description in RNAcentral is "partial 16S ribosomal RNA". It matches the Rfam family "Bacterial small subunit ribosomal RNA", at positions 338 to 795 of the family's 1533-position model. The record is from RNAcentral. Lineage: Bacteria; Pseudomonadati; Pseudomonadota; Gammaproteobacteria; Oceanospirillales; Halomonadaceae.
CCUACGGGUGGCUGCAGUGGGGAAUAUUGGGCAAUGGGCGAAAGCCUGAUCCAGCCAUGCCGCGUGUGUGAAGAAGGCCUUCGGGUUGUAAAGCACUUUCAGUGGGGAAGAAAGCCUUGGGGCUAAUACCCUCGAGGAAGGACAUCACCCACAGAAGAAGCACCGGCUAACUCCGUGCCAGCAGCCGCGGUAAUACGGAGGGUGCGAGCGUUAAUCGGAAUUACUGGGCGUAAAGCGCGCGUAGGCGGUCUGAUAAGCCGGUUGUGAAAGCCCCGGGCUCAACCUGGGAACGGCAUCCGGAACUGUCAGGCUAGAGUGCAGGAGAGGAAGGUAGAAUUCCCGGUGUAGCGGUGAAAUGCGUAGAGAUCGGGAGGAAUACCAGUGGCGAAGGCGGCCUUCUGGACUGACACUGACGCUGAGGUGCGAAAGCGUGGGUAGCAAACAGGAUUAGAUACCCCAGUAGUC